AUGUGCGAUGACAACGAGGACUUUGCCGGCGAUGGAUACAUAGGUCUCGCCACCAACUACGUGUUUCUUGCCGGCAGUAUUUGGUUGACAGCCAUAAGAAUGGCUUACGUUGGGAUAAGAAAUGCCCUAAUCAUUGGAGCCAUUGGAGAUUUGUCAGUAUACUCCGUAAGAAGAGAUGCGCGGGAAACUUUAAUUUUCAAUACCAUUCACAAAACACAAUUUUUCAUUUUUCAAUUUGACCACGCUUUACCUACCACUACUUGUAAUUAUUGCCACACUAGAAGUACUGGUGGCCUAUUAAUUACAUGAAGUUUGAAAUAAAUCUCCUUAACAAAAACGACUUUCAUUUUUUUCAAGGGGAAAUGUUAUUCUAGGUGCCCACAAUGCUCCCGAUUUGUAUACCGGGGGGGGGGGGGGGGAGAGUUUCAGGACGGUCGGCUAGUCGUAAAAUAAUAGUACAGGGUGUCCGGAAGUUAACGUACUUAACUUUCAGGAUCGCUUUUUCGGCUCAAAAUAAGACUUUUUUUCCUAUACACAUAUGCCCGAAAACGCUUCAUACGUGAGCUAUGCGCUUCCAAAGUUGCCAUUUUUUUUCGUUCAAAUUAAUAUAGCUCCUCGUCAUUUUUUCGAAGGUGGCUGAAACAUUGUUUAGGGGGGUAUUUCUUAGCGCUCUAUUCAUUUUUUGUGUUUUCAAGGACGUACGUCUUCGAAAAAUGACGUCACAAGCGUUCCCGAAUUUGAAAAUUGCGAUAACUUUUUUGGUAGAUGAUAUUUCGAAAAACGGAUUACGGCACGUGAAAGAGCGUAAAAAAUCAAGGGGAAACGGUACUUCACAAAAUUUUCCAGAAACGCGUCAUUUCGACGCAAAAGAACUUUGAAAAAUUUUAUGAUUUUCGAAGCCCCUUGCUGUGUAGGCAACCUUUACUGCAAGGAUUGAAAAAUUGCCUACAGAGCAAGGGGCUUCGAAAAUUUCGAAGCUAUUGAGACGGCUCUUGACCUUUCCUUCACACUUUUUCCAGGCUUGGGACUGGCCCGAGCAUCAUCUUACGAAAAUCGCGGUUAGGCGGCGAUAUUUUUGAUAUCAAAUAUCCACCGAAAAAUCAUACUUGGAGGCUUAUCGAAAACAUGGUUUCAAAGUGUGGUAGUUUCGUAGCAUAAGUUUAACAAGUCAUGCUUAAUAAUUACUUGUGAAUGCUCGGGGCUGUUCAACGCCGCUCCUCUCAAAGCAGAGAUUCGUGAUAUCUGCUCAGCACUUAUUCACCGAAUUUCUUAUUUCAUGUUCAAUGGCAGAUCUGGUAAGUACUUUGGGUGCAGUGAAAGGUUCGGAGAUUUAAUUCAUUUACUUACGUUGAUGCUUGCCAAUGUGUGUACUGUCGCUCGAAAUGAUUACACAGUAGCGCGAGAAUAGCUAAGAAUCGGAUUUUUUCGUAUUAAAAAAAAAGCAACAACAAAGAACAAAAAAUAAACAAAAAAAGCGGAUAAAUUACCUCCAGUGAGGGGGGGAGGGGCUGUUCUGCAUUAGUAAAAGAGCUGCCUCGUACAAAAUUUCAGGCCAAUUGAUCAACUUUCAGAGGUCGCAUCAACCCAUUUUUUUUAAAUAAUUUUUUCAGUAGGUAGAAAUUCUUCAUUUGCACUCCACAAAUGUGCAUUAUGGUCUCUCACAAUCUCCCAUAGCACGUGGCAGCUUUAUGAGCUCUCGAUCAGAUUGAAAAUUGAAUUCUGGUGGUUUUUUCCUCCUCACAUUUUGACAUACCGAUUUCGCAGCAUAUCAAUAAUCUUGCAGUUGCAAUCAAUGUCUUAUCAUUGUUUCACUAUCUGAAUAUCUUCAUCGAAUUUCGUCU
RNAcentral lists this long non-coding RNA (1841 nucleotides) under Bemisia tabaci. Its description in RNAcentral is "lncRNA ENSSSA1UGG009986". Lineage: Eukaryota; Metazoa; Arthropoda; Insecta; Hemiptera; Aleyrodidae. The record is from RNAcentral.